This 1383-nucleotide long non-coding RNA is filed under the name Pan paniscus (pygmy chimpanzee). RNAcentral describes it as "lncRNA (ENSPPAG00000045510.1)". Lineage: Eukaryota; Metazoa; Chordata; Mammalia; Primates; Hominidae. The record is from RNAcentral.
GUAUUUAUUAUUUUUACAUAAGAAAACAUUUAUAUGAGAAAAAGUAUCAGCAGAGCUUACACAGUGAUAGGAUUAUACAUCAUGAUUUCCUCUUUAAACAUCUUUAUAAUUAUCAAACAUGAGUGAUUAAAAAAACUGAAGCUAAAGGUAGCAAUAUUCUCUAUACUGGCAGAUUUUUCAGCAUUGCAUAUGAACCCACCUCCGGUAAGUGGGUUAUCUUUCUAAUUUAUGACUUCAGUGAAAUCUGUUUCCUGGCAAUGGUUGCCAGGGCACGCCUUCUCUCUUGUUCUCCGUCAUGCUUACUUUUAAGCCUAAGGGCAAGAAAGAAAUAGACAGAAAGCAAGAAGUAGCAUGAGCAUCUUUUUUUGUGUGUGUGUGUGGCAUGUUAGGAAAAGGAGCUGUAAACACACUCCACUAAGCAUAGCACAUGCCUUGGAUUCAAGCAGUGGACCUCAAAGAGUAGCGUCUCCUUUUAAGCUUUGCAGGGCAAGUUUGGGGCACUGUCAGUGAAAAAUUGUCACUGCUUCUUGCCUUGGUGCUUGCCUGAACAACAAGGAGUUCUUCUAACUGCCUUAAAAGGAAUCUACUCCUCUCUCCUGCCACAGUGCCAAAUGCAAAUAUUAUUUGAGGAUAUCAAUCCUUAGAGACUCAUUCAAAAGACUUUAAAAAAGAAAAAGCCUCUGAAUUUACGAAACCAAAGCAGCUAUCAGGAUGAUCAGGAGAUGGGGAGACAGAGGAAAGAAAGGAGAGAUCUGUGGAUCCCGUGAGCACCCCAAAUUGGAACCACUCCUUACCGUGUCUCAAGGAAGCAACAGACCUCCAAACUGCAUGGUGUACCUCAAAAGAGCAAGACCCAAGCAAAAAGACCUGCUGCUUCAAGUCCUUUCUGCCAUUGCUGAAGAAAUGACAUGAAUUCAGACAAAGGAAUUACCUGGUCCAAUUGUGUCUAUCUGAGACAGUCCUCAAAUGCUAAGUUACCAGCCAUCUAGGAUCACACAGCUAAGGAAGGCUUCCCGCCGCUGCCUCCCCUGCCUUUCCUGCUGAGCCUGAUGGAUGAGCUUUUGUCUUUCUGGCAUCCCAAGCCCUUCGCUUUGUUUCACUUUUGACAGCUAUGCACCUUGCGGAGAAGCCAGCCAGGUUUGGAAACCAGUUUGGUCCUGACAGACCUGCACAGCGGUAACUCACCUAUAUACGCAGUGAUCUGGGGCAGUGCCUGCCUGGGCACUAGAAAGUCAGACCAGGUUCCCAGAGAGCCCUAAGGGCAACCAGUCUAAACAGAUACAUCAAUCUGCUCACUAAAGAAUAAAGCUGGCUCUCCCAAUAUAAUUACAGGCUGGCUGAUUUAUUCUUCCAAUCUUUAGUGCGUGGCAAGGUUAGUGUUAU